RNAcentral lists this unclassified non-coding RNA (240 nucleotides) under soil metagenome. RNAcentral's name for it is "partial contains 5.8S ribosomal RNA, internal transcribed spacer 2, and large subunit ribosomal RNA". The record is from RNAcentral.
AACGGUCUAUACCUGCGGUACCUGCGGAAGGAUCAUUACCGAGUUCUCGCCCCUCGCGGGGUAGACCUCCCACCCACUGUGAUCACUACCGUCGUUGCUUUGGCGGGCCGCUGGGCCCAGCCCACCGCCGGCUCCGGCUGGCGCGUGCCCGCCAGAGGCCCUACAAACGCUGGAUAUCAGUGCCGUCUGAGUACACAUGUUAAUCGUUAAAACUUUCAACAAUGGAUCUCUAGAUCGGAA